GUUGGAACACACAAAAAGUCGCCAAAGCGCACAUGCACGGCGUGAAAGGCCCAGAGAGUCGCCCGCGCCUGUGGCCUAGCGGUGGACCCAUUCGACCUCCUGUUCUCCAAAAGAAUCGUGAAUUAAAAAAAGUGACAUGGCGACAAUGACCGGAGAAGAAAAAAAAGACAAAAAAGGAGCAGGGCACACCAACCAAUCACAUUUGUACUGCACAAUGCGUCGAUGGCCGGCAGCGCUUUUUUGGACGAGGCAAAAAGGCGCCGUGGUCGAGCCCUCUGCAGGGACACACACACACGCGCACACAGCGCGCCGACGUCUUUUGCUGUUUGCCAACUACACCGCCUUUUUUUCGACUUUUUUUUCAUCUAAAACAAAAUGCACCGACUCGGCCACCUCGGCAACCGCCGCACACUGGUCGCGCCCGUCGCCGGGGGCGUGCUCGUCGGGCUGGCGGCAUCCUACCGAUCGACCAUUCGCGCAAAAGCCGCCGACGCCCACUAGGACGGCCAGGACGAGUGCCCGAUCCCACACCCUUUUGGCACGGGCAUCGCCAGGCUCGACAAGGCCAUCCGCCACGCCGAAGAGACCGACAACCUGGCAUCCGUGCAACGCCUCUACCAGUUUGUCCUGUCCCACCUGCACAAGGAAUUUACCUUGGUCGAGGCCACGGUGACCAUCCACCACGCCAGCCACCAGUGGUAUGGGCCGCAGCGCGUUGUGCUCGACAAUCCCGAGGGCGUGCUGGCCGACCGCUGGAACGACACGUAUUGGGCGCUGGACAAGGGCGACCGGCCCUACGCGCCCAUGCGACUCCAUGGCAUGGGCAAGACUGCACCGCGGCUUGCCUUUUGCGAGCAACGACCCCACAGCGCGCCACUCGAAUGGACCUUUGAAUUCGCCCCCAAACAAUGACCUUGCC
This 919-nucleotide long non-coding RNA is filed under the name Pandoravirus salinus. RNAcentral's name for it is "putative ncRNA". The record is from RNAcentral.